GGGGAGAAGGGGUCGCUAUCGUACAGUGCCAGGACGGCGGCGCCAUAUCCGGCAAAACACGAGACCUCGCUGGUGUUCGUCAUUUCGGCGAACCCGAGCAUCAUCGGUCAAAAUAGAAGCACAGGGAGGGAUAGAUGGGCACGGCAAACUCGGCCAUGGAGUCGGGACGAGCCUCGAGGGCUUGGUGGCGGUGCUACGCUCAAAUUGGCAGCUCGGUUUCGACGGCGACGACAUACGAGCGACGCGAAGCAAGAGAGAGCAAGAGCAGAGCACCAUGAGCUCUCUUACCAACUUCCGAGGCUCGGCAAUCGGCUCAAGACGGCGGUGAAACGUCGGGUGAGUAGAUCGAGCGGCGACGGCGGCUUAGGGUUUCGGUGGUGGCGCAGGAGAGCUCUGAGGGCGCGGCUGCUGCGGCUAAAGCUCGGGAUGGAGGCUCGGGUUUUAUAGCCCGGAGGUGGCGGCAUCGAUGGAAUGGGGAGAUCGGUUCGAGCUCGAUCUCGGCCAGAAAAGGAACGCGCCGGCUUGCUCUGCUAGGGUUUGGAGCGCCGCGAGCUUGAGGCG
This 561-nucleotide long non-coding RNA is filed under the name Setaria italica (foxtail millet). RNAcentral's name for it is "long non-coding RNA (SITA_LNC007027)". Lineage: Eukaryota; Viridiplantae; Streptophyta; Magnoliopsida; Poales; Poaceae. The record is from RNAcentral.